Non-coding RNA from Pelobates cultripes (western spadefoot toad), 284 nucleotides. Lineage: Eukaryota; Metazoa; Chordata; Amphibia; Anura; Pelobatidae. The record is from the annotation of a GenBank genome assembly.
CUUGUGACGUCACAUCAUAGAAGUGCAUGCACGUUUUGGGGUCAGAGACAGACAAUUAGGGCCUAAAGAGGGUUAUUGAAACACAAAUGAUCUUUUUGCCAGUGCCCUGUCUUGGUUUCCACUAGCUGGUUAUCAGAGAGUGUGUUCCUGAUCGCGUUUUUUUCUGGUAUUUGACUUUAGCUUUGUUUUGACUUCCCUGAUUUCUGGUAUCCUUGACUUCUGGCUUUUCUCAUCGUUGCGUCUCAUUCUGUGUCCCUGACCUCGGCAUGUAUUUUGACUAUUCU